GAUCCUUACCAAGGCAGUGAUGGCAGAUUAAGUAUACAUACUUACAAGACAUUUAUUGCAUAGUCAAACCCUAGAUCCAAAGAAACAAGUCAAUAAGUCAAAUCAAGAUGUGCAUGUGUGGCGAAUGAAUGGUGUAUGGUGAUGAUGGUGAUAACAAUGGUGAAAGUCUAAUUCUAAUUUUGCUCUUUUGAGGGGAUAAAUACCUUUCUUGCUCUUUGAAACUUUUUAAGGAGAAUGAGAUGCUCUAUAUUUUCUUUUUUCUUUCCUCUCAAAUGGGUAUCUUGUACCCCUAAUUCUACUAUCGGACACUUGUCCAUUUUUACCUCUCGUCUCACUUUUUCUUUUCUUUCGAGGUUCCGGGCACUUGCCCCUUUUUAUUUCCUCGUAUAUAUUUUUUUAGAGCACUUAUCUCCUGAAAUAAUAUAGCAAGUGUUAGUAAGCAAGAUAACUCAAGCACUUAUUUCACAGGGGAAAAACAUAAAUAGGAGAAUGUUUUUGGCUAUUCUCUCCCGGAUUAGGAGUAGAAUAUUUUUGGGUGGUUCUGGAGAUGGAAAUGAGUGGAUAUAUGUGGAUGUGUACUUCUGGAGUAGAAGAAGCAUGUGUGAGUGAACGUGCACGUGAAUCUUGAUUUAACCACAUGACAAGCUCCUAAGGGUCUAUACAGCUUGACCACACUCAAUGCUCAUAAGCAGUAAAAAGUAAAUGUGUGGCUCAAAAUCUAGCAAGCAUGUAUAUAUGGCCGUGGUAGGAAUUUAAACUCUCAUCAUACUGAAACUCAUCAUGUGAUAUUUUAAAGAUUUUCGAAGAUAAAAUUCUCCAGAAUUCUAGCAUCUCUAGGAACAGAUAAACAGCAGCUCAUCCUUCUCAUAUCAUAUUCGUUAACAACUUAGACUUCAGAUCAAGUUCUCUUCCCACAAGUUCAGGUUUAGAGCAAGCUUUAAAUUAUAACAGUUAUGUCUAAACUAGAGAGAGAACUCAAAUUUGAAAAUUAAGCAGAGCAACUAUUCAUCAUAUCCAUGAUUAGAGUUUUAUUAAGAUUUAGUUUAGCAUAGCCACUUUAUUUAUUUAUUAAGCACACUAAGCAAAAGAUAUAUAUAUAUAAGCACAAAAUCUUUAUUUAGUUUUUCAUGGUUAUGUAUAUUUUUAUUUUAAUAUAGUAUAAGUAUAUAGAUAGAUAGAAAUACUUAGCGGGAUAAAUGGAAGUGCUCUCCCCCAAGCUGA
Molecule: long non-coding RNA, 1221 nt
Filed under: Sorghum bicolor (sorghum)
Lineage: Eukaryota; Viridiplantae; Streptophyta; Magnoliopsida; Poales; Poaceae
Description: long non-coding RNA (SBIC_LNC016417)
Source: RNAcentral